CUGAUGUUAGCGGCGGACGGGUGAGUAACACGUGGAUAACCUACCUAUAAGACUGGGAUAACUUCGGGAAACCGGAGCUAAUACCGGAUAAUAUUUUGAACCGCAUGGUUCAAAAGUGAAAGACGGUCUUGCUGUCACUUAUAGAUGGAUCCGCGCUGCAUUAGCUAGUUGGUAAGGUAACGGCUUACCAAGGCAACGAUGCAUAGCCGACCUGAGAGGGUGAUCGGCCACACUGGAACUGAGACACGGUCCAGACUCCUACGGGAGGCAGCAGUAGGGAAUCUUCCGCAAUGGGCGAAAGCCUGACGGAGCAACGCCGCGUGAGUGAUGAAGGUCUUCGGAUCGUAAAACUCUGUUAUUAGGGAAGAACAUAUGUGUAAGUAACUGUGCACAUCUUGACGGUACCUAAUCAGAAAGCCACGGCUAACUACGUGCCAGCAGCCGCGGUAAUACGUAGGUGGCAAGCGUUAUCCGGAAUUAUUGGGCGUAAAGCGCGCGUAGGCGGUUUUUUAAGUCUGAUGUGAAAGCCCACGGCUCAACCGUGGAGGGUCAUUGGAAACUGGAAAACUUGAGUGCAGAAGAGGAAAGUGGAAUUCCAUGUGUAGCGGUGAAAUGCGCAGAGAUAUGGAGGAACACCAGUGGCGAAGGCGACUUUCUGGUCUGUAACUGACGCUGAUGUGCGAAAGCGUGGGGAUCAAACAGGAUUAGAUACCCUGGUAGUCCACGCCGUAAACGAUGAGUGCUAAGUGUUAGGGGGUUUCCGCCCCUUAGUGCUGCAGCUAACGCAUUAAGCACUCCGCCUGGGGAGUACGACCGCAAGGUUGAAACUCAAAGGAAUUGACGGGGACCCGCACAAGCGGUGGAGCAUGUGGUUUAAUUCGAAGCAACGCGAAGAACCUUACCAAAUCUUGACAUCCUUUGACAACUCUAGAGAUAGAGCUUUCCCCUUCGGGGGACAAAGUGACAGGUGGUGCAUGGUUGUCGUCAGCUCGUGUCGUGAGAUGUUGGGUUAAGUCCCGCAACGAGCGCAACCCUUAAGCUUAGUUGCCAUCAUUAAGUUGGGCACUCUAAGUUGACUGCCGGUGACAAACCGGAGGAAGGUGGGGAUGACGUCAAAUCAUCAUGCCCCUUAUGAUUUGGGCUACACACGUGCUACAAUGGACAAUACAAAGGGCAGCGAAACCGCGAGGUCAAGCAAAUCCCAUAAAGUUGUUCUCAGUUCGGAUUGUAGUCUGCAACUCGACUACAUGAAGCUGGAAUCGCUAGUAAUCGUAGAUCAGCAUGCUACGGUGAAUACGUUCCCGGGUCUUGUACACACCGCCCGUCACACCACGAGAGUUUGUAACACCCGAAGCCGGUGGAGUAACCUUUUAGGAGCUAGCCGUCGAAGGUGGGACAAAUGAUUGGGGUGAAGUCGUAACAAGGUAGCCGUAUCGGAAGGUGCGGCUGGAUCACCUCCUUU
Molecule: ribosomal RNA, 1462 nt
Filed under: Staphylococcus aureus
Lineage: Bacteria; Bacillati; Bacillota; Bacilli; Caryophanales; Staphylococcaceae
Description: bacterial SSU rRNA
Rfam family: Bacterial small subunit ribosomal RNA
Source: RNAcentral